Molecule: ribosomal RNA, 254 nt
Filed under: uncultured bacterium
Lineage: Bacteria
Description: partial 16S ribosomal RNA
Rfam family: Bacterial small subunit ribosomal RNA
Source: RNAcentral
UACGUAGGCAGCGAGCGUUGUUCGGAAUUACUGGGCGUAAAGAGUGUGUAGGCGGUGCUCUAAGUUCGGUGUGAAAUCUCCCGGCUUAACUGGGAGGGUGCGCCGGAAACUGGAGUGCUCGAACGUGGGAGAGGAAAGCGGAAUUCCCAGUGUAGCGGUGAAAUGCGUAGAUAUUGGGAGGAACACCAGUGGCGAAGGCGGCUCACUGGACCGGAACUGACGCUGAGGCGCGAAAGCGUGGGGAGCAAACGGGG